Molecule: ribosomal RNA, 1143 nt
Filed under: Staphylococcus sp. C1I19
Lineage: Bacteria; Bacillati; Bacillota; Bacilli; Caryophanales; Staphylococcaceae
Description: bacterial SSU rRNA
Rfam family: Bacterial small subunit ribosomal RNA
Source: RNAcentral
GGCGGACGGGUGAGUAACACGUGGAUAACCUACCUAUAAGACUGGGAUAACUUCGGGAAACCGGAGCUAAUACCGGAUAAUAUAUUGAACCGCAUGGUUCAAUAGUGAAAGACGGUUUUGCUGUCACUUAUAGAUGGAUCCGCGCCGCAUUAGCUAGUUGGUAAGGUAACGGCUUACCAAGGCAACGAUGCGUAGCCGACCUGAGAGGGUGAUCGGCCACACUGGAACUGAGACACGGUCCAGACUCCUACGGGAGGCAGCAGUAGGGAAUCUUCCGCAAUGGGCGAAAGCCUGACGGAGCAACGCCGCGUGAGUGAUGAAGGUCUUCGGAUCGUAAAACUCUGUUAUUAGGGAAGAACAAAUGUGUAAGUAACUAUGCACGUCUUGACGGUACCUAAUCAGAAAGCCACGGCUAACUACGUGCCAGCAGCCGCGGUAAUACGUAGGUGGCAAGCGUUAUCCGGAAUUAUUGGGCGUAAAGCGCGCGUAGGCGGUUUUUUAAGUCUGAUGUGAAAGCCCACGGCUCAACCGUGGAGGGUCAUUGGAAACUGGAAAACUUGAGUGCAGAAGAGGAAAGUGGAAUUCCAUGUGUAGCGGUGAAAUGCGCAGAGAUAUGGAGGAACACCAGUGGCGAAGGCGACUUUCUGGUCUGUAACUGACGCUGAUGUGCGAAAGCGUGGGGAUCAAACAGGAUUAGAUACCCUGGUAGUCCACGCCGUAAACGAUGAGUGCUAAGUGUUAGGGGGUUUCCGCCCCUUAGUGCUGCAGCUAACGCAUUAAGCACUCUCGCCUGGGGAGUACGACCGCAAGGUUGAAACUCAAAAGGAAUUGACGGGGACCCGCACAAGCGGUGGAGCAUGUGGUUUAAUUUGAAGCAACGCGAAGAACCUUACCAAAUCUUGACAUCCUCUGACCCCUCUAGAGAUAGAGUUUUCCCCUUCGGGGGACAGAGUGACAGGUGGUGCAUGGUUGUCGUCAGCUCGUGUCGUGAGAUGUUGGGUUAAGUCCCGCAACGAGCGCAACCCCUAAGCUUAGUUGCCAUCAUUAAGUUGGGCACUCUAAGUUGACUGCCGGGGACAAACCGGAGGAAGGGGGGGAGGACGUCAAAUCAUCACGCCCCCUAUGAUUUGGGGUACACACCUG